Non-coding RNA from Camelus ferus (Wild Bactrian camel), 73 nucleotides. NCBI's taxonomy places the organism in Eukaryota, Metazoa, Chordata, Mammalia, Artiodactyla, Camelidae. The record is from Rfam.
GAGGGUAUAGCUGAAUGGUAAAGUGUGCACCUAGCAUGCAUAAGGUCCUGGGUUCAAUCCCCAGUACCUCUCA